Molecule: ribosomal RNA, 1374 nt
Filed under: uncultured organism
Description: bacterial SSU rRNA
Rfam family: Bacterial small subunit ribosomal RNA
Source: RNAcentral
GCAAGCCGAGGGGUAAGUUCCGACUUGUCGGAAACACGACCGGCGAACGGGUGAGUAACGCGUAUGCAACCUGCCUUUAACUGGAGAAUAGCUCUCGGAAACGGGAAUUAAUACUCCAUAAUAUCUCGACAUCGCAUGUUGUUGAGAUCAAAGCUUCGGCGGUUAAAGAUGGGCAUGCGUGCCAUUAGCUUGUUGGUGAGGUAACUGCUCACCAAGGCUGUGAUGGCUAGGGGGUCUGAGAGGAUGAUCCCCCACACUGGUACUGAGACACGGACCAGACUCCCACGGGAGGCAGCAGUGAGGAAUAUUGGGCAAUGGGUGAAAGCCUGACCCAGCCAUAUCGCGUGCAGGAUGACAGCUUUCGGGUUGUAAACUGCUUUUCUACGGAAAGAAACCCCCGAACGUGUUCGGGGCUGACGGUACCGUAAGAACAAGGAUCGGCUAACUCCGUGCCAGCAGCCGCGGUAAUACGGAGGAUCCAAGCGUUAUCCGGAUUUAUUGGGCUUAAAGGGUGCGCAGGCGGAAUAGUAAGUCAGUGGUGAAAUCCUAUAGCUUAACUAUAGAAACUGACAUUGAUACUGCUAUUCUUGAGUUCAGUUGAGGUGGGUGGAAUGUGUGAUGUAGCGGUGAAAUGCAUAGAUAUCACACAGAACAACAAUUGCGAAGGCAGAUCACUAAAACUGAUACUUGAAGCUGAAGCACGAAAGCGUGGGGAGCGAACAGGAUUAGAUAACCUGGUAGUACAAGCUGUAAACGUAGAUUACUAGCUGUUGGGCGAUAAAUGGUCAGCAGCAUAGUGAAAGCAAUUAAGUAAUCCGCCUGGGGAGUACGUCCGCAAGGAUGAAACUCAAAGGAAUUGACGGGGGCCCGCACAAGCGGAGGAACAUGUGGUUUAAUUCGAUGAUACGCGAGGAACCUUACCUGGGCUUAAAUGUAGAACGACGUUCCGUGAAAGCGGAAUUCCCUUCGGGGCGUUCUAUAAGGUGCUGCAUGGCUGUCGUCAGCUCGUGCCGUGAGGUGUCGGGUUAAGUCCCAUAACGAGCGCAACCCCUAUUGUUAGUUGCCAGCGGAUAAUGCCGGGGACUCUAACGAAACUGCCAGUGCAAACUGUGAGGAAGGUGGGGAUGACGUCAAGUCAGCACGGCCNUUAUGUCCAGGGCUACACACGUGUUACAAUGGUCAGUACAAAAGGCAGCUACCUGGCAACAGGACGCAAAUCUUUAAAACUGGUCUUAGUUCGGAUCGAAGUCUGCAAUUCGACUUCGUGAAGGUGGAUUCGCUAGUAAUCGCGCAUCAGCCACGGCGCGGUGAAUACGUUCCCGGGCCUUGUACACACCGCCCGUCAAGCCAUGGAAGCUAGGGUACCUGAAGUUC